This 1425-nucleotide long non-coding RNA is filed under the name Triticum aestivum (bread wheat). Its description in RNAcentral is "long non-coding RNA (TAES_LNC016631)". Lineage: Eukaryota; Viridiplantae; Streptophyta; Magnoliopsida; Poales; Poaceae. The record is from RNAcentral.
GGUACAAUGUUGAUUAUUUAGAGACCUCAUCUUCAUGAGACUAGCAAGGGAUGGACAUUCUGAAGAAGAAGAGAUGAGGUGAGUUUCUGAAGUUCACCGUCCAAUCCAAGUAUUAAAGGUGAGCAUUACUAUUCAAAGGGACAUAAUUAACCCGUUAAAUUAUUCUUAGAGCAAGGAACCAGUUAUUAUCUAACCGAAUAACUGUAAACUAGCUUCUUUUUCUAAAAUGAGGUGUUGUCUUUAAAUAGAUAUGGACCGGAGAGGGGGCUUGAGAAAUGCUAAUUAGGCUAGAGGCGUAUGAUAUUUUUUUCUCCAGUUGCAAUGCACGGGCAUGUUUGCUAUAAUAAUAAAGCAUCCAGUGGAGGGGUUUAGAAAAAUAGAGACGGUUCUAUUUGAUAUGUAAUUUAGAAAUUAAUGGCUGGAGGAUCCUAAACUAACAUAUGGCAUUUUGUUUCAAUUUCUCUUUACCUGAUUGUGUUACUUAUGCACAAUCACCAUACUUGACAUAGGUCCCUGCACUUCCGUUGACGAGUAUUUUGUCAGCAUCUCGAUGCGGAGGUACAACUUUAGCUGAUCUUCGUCAUGUUUUACAUUGUUUCUCAGUACUUUUUACUGCAAUGUGGAGGUCAGAUUCUAGCUGAUAUAUCUUCAUGCUUUACCUUGUUUACCAAUGUCCCAAUGUGGACGUAAAGAUUCUAGCUGAUAUAUCUUCAUGUUUUACCUUGUUUACCAAUGUCCCAAAAUUUUGUUUCGUCUUUGCUUUGAAUUAAUUUUCCUUACUUUGACUGAGUAGGACAUUUAUUUGAAAUACUAAAUUGUGGUGUCGCUACCUCUAAGGACCACAGCGUUGUAGCGCCCUUGGCACAAGGUGACCAUCUUCAGCGCAUCGUGGUGUCGCUGCCCACACGAUCUCUACAGACACCACAAAAGGCUACAGGACCGACAAGGCCGGUGGCCUGACCACUGAAUCACGUUGUUGUGCGGGCGCCUUGAUCUCGCAUGCGGCCGUCUAAAGCCCCAGGGGCCAACCUCGCUCAAGCGUCGCCGACAGGCUCUCUUUUGCACAGGAGAAAAUGGUUGGAUAUAUGUGCCUCCUCCGUCUCUUAUUCCCUGAAAUGUAAUUUGAUGACUCAUUGAUGUCACACUCGCUUAGGAUUAAACUGCACAGGUUAGAUUGACAUUUUGCCCUGUGUUUAAUUACUACAUGCACUGCACGCUGAUCCAUGUAUAUAUUGGCUCCCCUAUAUAUACCUCUAUUGGUGAAAAGUUUUGACUUUCGAGUUUUGUCAGACGUGAGUUGCAGCAAUUUUCAGUUACUUUUCUAUGCCUGUCAUUCAUCUCUGAACCGUUGUGAUGGAGAUUGUAAUACUGUGUUUAGAAUAUGUCAGUCCAUAUGCGAGAUCUUCUUUUCAACUUGGCAACCAU